GUAACGGUGUCUUUAGACACCACCCUUAUCUUCAAAAAAUUUGUU
Molecule: non-coding RNA, 45 nt
Organism: Picea glauca (white spruce)
Lineage: Eukaryota; Viridiplantae; Streptophyta; Pinopsida; Pinales; Pinaceae
Source: Rfam